UCCCUGGUAGUCCAGUGGCUAAGACUCUGCACUCCCAAUGCAGGGGGCCCGGGUUCAAUUCCUGGUCAGGGAA
This 73-nucleotide transfer RNA is filed under the name Balaenoptera acutorostrata scammoni. RNAcentral's name for it is "tRNA-Gly (CCC) (tRNA-Gly-CCC-17-1)". It matches the Rfam family "tRNA". From Rfam's summary of the family: Transfer RNA (tRNA) molecules are approximately 80 nucleotides in length. Their secondary structure includes four short double-helical elements and three loops (D, anti-codon, and T loops). The record is from RNAcentral. Lineage: Eukaryota; Metazoa; Chordata; Mammalia; Artiodactyla; Balaenopteridae.